AAAACCUUGUAGUGCACUUUGCUGCACUGCAAAAUAGGAAGACACAGUUUUUCCAGUCUCCAAAGCCCCUAUCCUUUGCUGUCUUUUGGAGUGUGCAGAUGGUAACUAGGCCUGUUGCUCGGCAGCCACGUUAAGUGCGACCAGCCUCCUUACAGCGCCAACUGGGAGAGCAGACGAGAGCUCCACCUUGAUGUGUCAAAUACAUCUUCAGUGAUGCAGGUCUGCAAGCAAUCUGCUUCAAAAAUUGCAG
Long non-coding RNA from Tyto alba (common barn owl), 250 nucleotides. RefSeq lists it as uncharacterized. The transcript is spliced from 3 exons. The record is from RefSeq and is a predicted model, not a curated record. NCBI's taxonomy places the organism in Eukaryota, Metazoa, Chordata, Aves, Strigiformes, Tytonidae.